This 3025-nucleotide small RNA is filed under the name Caenorhabditis elegans. RNAcentral describes it as "Unclassified non-coding RNA Y53G8B.12". Lineage: Eukaryota; Metazoa; Nematoda; Chromadorea; Rhabditida; Rhabditidae. The record is from RNAcentral.
AUUACUUCCUGAUUCCAUUCCUAACUUGUACACUCCUUAUCACUCUACCCAUCAACUACGCCCAGUAUACCAUCGGACAAUUCACCAACUGUCCGCCUAUCGUGCUCUACAGCCGGAUGGCUCCGAUUUUCACGGGAGUUGGAAUAAUGGUUACUAUCGUACAAUACAUUGUGUCAUCAUCUAUCCGAUUUGAUCAUCGAUUCAUUUCCAUGGCAUUUGAGUUUGCUUAUUCACUGUUGACAAAUCGAAAUGCGGUUUUCGCGGACUUUCUCCGAGUAGAGGCAUUUUAAGUGAGUUUUCACAAUAAACUAGUAAAGUUCUGUACAAAAACAGUAUUACAAAAAUUUUGGCCACAGCGCGGACUCGAACCCCGGUGUUGUGGGUCUCAUCCAUCUCUGUUAACCACUAGGCAUUUUUUCACUUUUUCUGAAAAGUCGAUAUGGGUGUCAAAUUGACCGGAAUUUCAGGGAAAAGCCGAAUUUUAAUAUAAAAAUCAUCAAAAAUCAAUAAUUUUCCAUAAAAUCUGAAGAUAUUAAUUUUUUGAUAAAAUUUUUCCAAACAAAAUACUUGAACAAACUUCAAAGUCCCGUUAAAUUCUUGUUAUCCUACACAAACACCUUAAAAUUGCUUAGAAAAAAAUUUUACCACAACGGGGAGUCGAACCCCGGUGUUGUGGGUCUCAGCCAUCUCUGCUAACCACUAGGCCAAGAAUUCAAAAUUCACAUUUUUUUAAAAAUCGAUAUGGGUGCCAAAUAGACGGAAAUUACAUGAAAAUUCAAAUUUUAAAGCAAUAUUUUUACAUUUUUUCAGACGGUUACGCGCCAAAAUGCAGAGAAAACGAGAUUUUCACAGAAAACCGGUGCCGACCGGCGGAUUUCCAUCGAUACGGGUACCUGCAUACAGAUAGGACAUAUCUUCAGGAAAAGCUGAGAUAUGAUCUCCAGUCGGACCCAAUAAUUGCCAAAUAUGCGACUGCUCAGUCGCCGCCGGUUAGGUUAGUUGUAAAAUUCGAAAAAUUCAAAAUUUUUGUGGAAUAUAAUCUUAGAAAGUGUUUAAAAAGUGAUAAAAUGGCAAUAUCAGUGCGAAAAAAGCCUAGAAAAAAAUUUGACCACUGCGGGGAUUCGAACCCCGGUGUUGUGGGUCUCAACCAUCUCUGUUAGCCACUAGGCCAAAAAUCAACUUUUUUGAAAAAUCGAUAUGGUAGUCAAAAAUUACGAAAAUUUCGUGAAAAGCUCGAAUUUUUCUAUAAAAACCUUUGAAAAUCAAUAUUUUUCGAGAAUUUUCAGAGUAUUCGACCCGGCCUACCAACACGCUCACUUCAUUUCCGCUGCAAUCGUUUUAUCGAUUUUUCUGUUUCUGUUGAGCCUACUUGGAGUCCGAAAGUUCAUCUGUGGAUAUCGAAACUACAUUUUCUUCGGAACAAUUCUCGUGUGUGCAGUUGUUCUGCAAAUUAUUAUCGGGGAAAACGAGCGACAGGCGACUAUGCUGAUUGUGGUGAGAAAAAAAUAUGUUUAACAUUUAUUUUACUGUAGAAUUCCCGUCAAUUUGGGGCCAUUUAAGAUUUUCCAAAAAUUUGAGUUUCUGGCCUAGUGGUUAACACGGAUGGCCCCAAGACCGGGGUUCGAGCCCCCGUUGUGGCCAAAUUUUUUUAUUUGUUUUAUUAUGUGGUAACAGCUCCUCAAAAUAAUUUCAAAAAUGCCAAAAGUUGAGUUUUCGAUUUUUUUUGCUAAAAAUAGAUAAUCACUGGGAUUUCUCGAUAGUCAUCGAUUAAAGGAAAUUAAACUGUUAAAAAUCAGAUUUUCCACAAAAUUCCCGUCAAUUUGACACCCAUAUCGAUUUUUCAAAAAAGUUGAGUUUUUGGCCUAGUGGCUAACACGGAUGGCUGAGACCCACAAGACCGGGGUUCGAACCCCCACUAGAGUCGAAUUUUUUUGCGUGUUUUUUCAACUUAUGUAAUUUUUUUCCAGGCUGUUGGAAACGAUUUUUUGAAAAUUCUCGAGUGGAAAACCUGGACAAUCGCUGCAAUUCAUGUAAUCUAGAAUUUCAUUGAUUUUAUUGAUUUAUUUUCGGUUUUUCAGAGUAUGAUAAUGUUUUGCACAGCAAAUGGAACCUAUAUAGCAAUUGGAUCGAUAAAUAAAUUUUCGAAUUGGUGUUUUGUGGACCUGAUAUGCGCCAAAGUUGUCGGAUUAUUUAUGCUUGUACUGUUUGGACUGACUUUUGGAAUGGCAGCCAUUAUUGGGGCGGAGGCAAACUUUUCGAAGUUUGAGAAACGAUCAUUAACAGUCGAUGAUAUCAGUGAGUUACUGACGAGGAAUUUUUGAAUAAAAAAACAAAAAAACACAAUUUUAGUUGGCAAAUCGUAGUUUUCCGAUAAAAUAUUGGUUUUCAAGAUUUUCAGUGGAAAAUUCAAUCUUCCCACAAAAUUCCCGUCAUUUUAAGCACCCAUAUCGACUUUUCGAAAAAGUUGAUUUUUGGCCUAGUGGCUAACGCGGAUGGCUGAGACUCACAAGACCGGGGUUCGAGCCCCACAGCGGGCAAAAAUUUUUUCUUGGUCUAUCUAGCCUGAGUAAACCACUCCGAACUGUUUAGUUUUAAAAUUAUUGAGUUUUUCAAAUUUUUGUGAAUUUCCAGGGGUCCUAAUCCACAAUGAGAAGAACAUUUUCGAGUACAUCUGCGUGUUUUUUUCCAGUCUAUGGCGAAGAAGUUGUUAAUGAUGGUAUUCAUAUUUUUCGUCUCAUUUUGGCAGCUUUCCAGUUUGAUAACUUUUUCUUAAAUUUUGAAAAGUUUUGAAAAAAAUUUCAAAAAAAUUUUUUUUUUCGAAAGAUUUUAUUUUUAGCAAGAAAAGUUUUAAAACUGUAUUUAAAGAAUUAAUUGUUCAAUUUCCAGAUUCUCCUAGCAGAAGGAGCCGUGAAUACCAUCUACAGAUGCUUCAAAAGUACCGCCCGUCUUCCACAAUUUGUGAUGCGCUACUUGUCACUGCUCAUUCAUUGUAGUUUGAUGCUUUUUACACAUUUGCUUUUAUUUG